RNAcentral lists this ribosomal RNA (253 nucleotides) under uncultured bacterium. RNAcentral describes it as "partial 16S ribosomal RNA". It matches the Rfam family "Bacterial small subunit ribosomal RNA", at positions 524 to 776 of the family's 1533-position model. The record is from RNAcentral.
UACGUAGGGUGCGAGCGUUGUCCGGAUUUAUUGGGCGUAAAGAGCUCGUAGGCGGCUUGUCGCGUCGGAUGUGAAAGCCCGGGGCUUAACUCCGGGUCUGCAUUCGAUACGGGCAUCACUGGAGUUCGGCAGGGGAGACUGGAAUUCCUGGUGUAGCGGUGAAAUGCGCAGAUAUCAGGAGGAACACCGGUGGCGAAGGCGGGUCUCUGGGCCGGUACGACGCUGAGGAGCGAAAGCGUGGGGAGCGAACAGG